This 253-nucleotide ribosomal RNA is filed under the name uncultured bacterium. RNAcentral's name for it is "partial 16S ribosomal RNA". It matches the Rfam family "Bacterial small subunit ribosomal RNA", at positions 524 to 776 of the family's 1533-position model. The record is from RNAcentral.
UACGUAGGGUGCGAGCGUUAAUCGGAAUUACUGGGCGUAAAGCGUGCGCAGGCGGUUCGCUGUGUCCGAUGUGAAAGCCCCGGGCUCAACCUGGGAAUGGCAUGGGAAACUGGCGGGCUGGAGUGUGGCAGAGGGGGGUGGAAUUCCGCGUGUAGCAGUGAAAUGCGUAGAGAUCUGGAGGAACACCGAUGGCGAAGGCAGCCCCCUGGGUUAACACUGACGCUCAUGCACGAAAGCGUGGGGAGCAAACAGG